UAUUUAGGUCUUUCCACUUUUCCGUGGAAAGACCUAUUGGAUUUCUUCUGAUUAUUAGGUCUUUCCACCUUUCCGUGGAAAGACCUAUAGGUUUUGUUCUGAUUAUUAGGUCUUUCCACCUUUCCGUGGAAAGACCUAUUGAAUUUGUUCUGAUUAUUAUUAUUAUUAUUAUUUUUUUUUUUUUUCUUCCGCCUAAUUUUUUUCUUGCGUAUUAUUGAUGUUUCAAAAGAUGUGCCUUAGAUAUUUGGAAUAUAGUAUCGUAUAGUUUAUAUACGCUUUAAAAAUUUACAACUGCGUAACAAAAUACUUUACGUUGUAAGAGUUAUCUCCCCAAACACUGUUUUUCUUGUGGCCACUACUCCUUCGCAACCGUAAAAGAUUACGACAAAUUUAUUUUACCAAAUUGCUCGUUACAUCUUCAGGAUUAGGAUAUUCAUUUGGACCGAAGCUUUACGGAGACUCCAUAUGAGAGUUAUUCCCCCUUUUCCAUUUGAAUUAAGUGAUAUGCAUUUCUAAAUGGUAAACCAUAAGUGAUAAAGACCUAGGGUCUUUAGAUUU
Molecule: long non-coding RNA, 558 nt
Filed under: Mytilus galloprovincialis (Mediterranean mussel)
Lineage: Eukaryota; Metazoa; Mollusca; Bivalvia; Mytilida; Mytilidae
Source: RNAcentral